RNAcentral lists this ribosomal RNA (301 nucleotides) under uncultured bacterium. RNAcentral's name for it is "partial 16S ribosomal RNA". It matches the Rfam family "Bacterial small subunit ribosomal RNA", at positions 509 to 807 of the family's 1533-position model. The record is from RNAcentral.
CAGUAGCCACGGUAAUACGUAGGUGGCAAGCGUUGUCCGGAAUUAUUGGGCGUAAAGGGCUCGCAGGCGGUUUCUUAAGUCUAAUGUGAAAGCCCCCGGCUCAACCGGGGAGGGUCAUUGGAAACUGGGAAACUUGAGUGCAGAAGAGGAGAGUGGAAUUCCACGUGUAGCGGUGAAAUGCGUAGAAAUGUGGAGGAACACCAGUGGCGAAGGCGACUCUCUGGUCUGUAACUGACGCUGAGGAGCGAAAGCGUGGGGAGCGAACAGGAUUAGAGACCCGGGUAGUCCCUGUCUCUUAUAC